ACGCUGGCGGCAGGCUUAACACAUGCAAGUCGAACGGUAGCAGGAGAAAGCUUGCUUUCUUGCUGACGAGUGGCGGACGGGUGAGUAAUGCUUGGGAAUCUGGCUUAUGGAGGGGGAUAACGACGGGAAACUGUCGCUAAUACCGCGUAGAGUCGAGAGACGAAAGUGCGGGACCGCAAGGCCGCAUGCCAUAGGAUGAGCCCAAGUGGGAUUAGGUAGUUGGUGGGGUAAUAGCCUACCAAGCCGACGAUCUCUAGCUGGUCUGAGAGGAUGACCAGCCACACCGGGACUGAGACACGGCCCGGACUCCUACGGGAGGCAGCAGUGGGGAAUAUUGCGCAAUGGGGGCAACCCUGACGCAGCCAUGCCGCGUGAAUGAAGAAGGCCUUCGGGUUGUAAAGUUCUUUCGGUAUUGAGGAAGGUUGUUGUGUUAAUAGCACGACAAAUUGACGUUAAAUACAGAAGAAGCACCGGCUAACUCCGUGCCAGCAGCCGCGGUAAUACGGAGGGUGCGAGCGUUAAUCGGAAUAACUGGGCGUAAAGGGCACGCAGGCGGACUUUUAAGUGAGGUGUGAAAUCCCCGGGCUUAACCUGGGAAUUGCAUUUCAGACUGGGAGUCUAGAGUACUUUAGGGAGGGGUAGAAUUCCACGUGUAGCGGUGAAAUGCGUAGAGAUGUGGAGGAAUACCGAAGGCGAAGGCAGCCCCUUGGGAAUGUACUGACGCUCAUGUGCGAAAGCGUGGGGAGCAAACAGGAUUAGAUACCCUGGUAGUCCACGCUGUAAACGCUGUCGAUUUGGGGAUUGGGCUUUAAGCUUGGUGCCCGAAGCUAACGUGAUAAAUCGACCGCCUGGGGAGUACGGCCGCAAGGUUAAAACUCAAAUGAAUUGACGGGGGCCCGCACAAGCGGUGGAGCAU
This 916-nucleotide ribosomal RNA is filed under the name uncultured bacterium. RNAcentral describes it as "bacterial SSU rRNA". It matches the Rfam family "Bacterial small subunit ribosomal RNA", at positions 33 to 940 of the family's 1533-position model. The record is from RNAcentral.